This is a long non-coding RNA of Mangifera indica (mango), 962 nucleotides long. RefSeq lists it as uncharacterized. The record is from RefSeq and is a predicted model, not a curated record. The transcript has 2 exons. NCBI's taxonomy places the organism in Eukaryota, Viridiplantae, Streptophyta, Magnoliopsida, Sapindales, Anacardiaceae.
UGUUAAGCCAAAAGUCAACAUUAAAUUCUCUACAGACAAAUCGCGACAGCACCGGCUGCUCCCGAGCGAACCUUACCACUCUUCAGUCUUCUCGACACCGGUCGCCGACGGCAAAACAGCUCAACUUCUAGAAUCAACUGCCACCUAAACAAGACGGCAGAGCCUGAGCCGUCGACGCUACCAAGCCCCUUAUUUUUCUAUCUGAAAUUUGAUCCUCAGCUCAAUUUUGUUGGUUUAUCUUAGUUUGAAAAUGGUGGCAAAGAUGGAAUCUUGACCUGUUUUUGAGAGAAAGAGAAAUGGGAAAGAAGAAAGAAGAGAAGGUGAUUGAUGACAACUUAGGCAUUAGUAGAGAUGAUGGCGCAUCUUGGUGGUUGGUUCAGAAUGGUGUUGGAGCUUCAUUUUUUUUUAUUGCUUUUUACUAGUAGGAGUUGCAAUGUUGCUCCAUCCUUACUCAGGAGCUGGUAAUCCUCCAAAGUUUGGGGACUAUGGUCUUUAUUUGUGCUCUUUUAUUCUUCAUAUUGUUUACUUAACCGCCCAAGUUUCCUUACCUCUUUGAAGCUAUGAUUAUGCUGAUGUGCUUUCCUCAAUUUGUGUUGUGUGCAUUUUACUCCAAUGCAAAGCAAUGGUUGUUUCGUUCUACGGUAGAUAAGGAAAAGAAGCUUAUUGGAUUCUUGUGUUUCUGAAAUUAGUUCACACAUGCUAUAGCAUUUUAUCUAACUUCUGGUCUGCCCGCAUGGAAACUCAAAUACAUAGCAGCAAAUGCAUAUGAGCAUGUGUUGGGUGACAAGUAAUUGGAUUGAAUCAUCUCACUAUGAGAAGUUUCUUGGUAGUUUUUGCCAAAAUUUCGCAUUUUAUAUUCUUUUUCUUUUUUGGAGAGUAUGCAUAAUCUGUUGUUCCUUUUGUAUUUAUUUUUCAACAUUUUUAUUUUUCAAUUCUAAUGUUCUAUUACAAUUUACAUUCUU